GCAGGAACACCUGGAGGGGAGAAUGCUGUAGUGGAGGGGGAAGAGAGGCUCACAUAGUGAGAGGAAGAAAGCUGGAGUUCUCAAGAACUCCACCAAGCCAUGUUCUGUUGGAGCCCCUCCCCAGGACAUGAGAACUGCAUCCAAAACUUGGAUUUGGGGUGUGAAGAGGUCUCGGGGAACAAAUGGAUGGAACCACAGGCGAGUCUACUCUGUUGAUUUUAUUUUAUUAGGAAGAGUGAGUAUGCACAUCACACAUGGCGGGGAGGGGAAUGGAGAGGAAGAAGGAGAAGCAGAUCCACUGCUGAGCAAGGAGCCCCAAACAGGGCUUGAUUCCAGGACCCCAAGAUCAUGACCUGAGCUGACGGCAGACACUUGACUAACUGAGCCCCCCCAGGUGCACCUCUCCAUUUAUGUUUUUGGUACAGUUGGUUAUCCAAUUGUG
Molecule: long non-coding RNA, 442 nt
Organism: Ailuropoda melanoleuca (giant panda)
Lineage: Eukaryota; Metazoa; Chordata; Mammalia; Carnivora; Ursidae
Exons: 3
Source: RefSeq, a predicted model, not a curated record